Molecule: ribosomal RNA, 269 nt
Filed under: uncultured bacterium
Lineage: Bacteria
Description: partial 16S ribosomal RNA
Rfam family: Bacterial small subunit ribosomal RNA
Source: RNAcentral
UGGCAUUCGAGUGGCGGACGGGUGAGUAACGCGUGGGUAACCUGCCUUACACAGGGGGAUAACACCUGGAAACGGGUGCUAAUACCGCAUAAGCGCACAGGGCCGCAUGGCCCGGUGUGAAAAACUCCGGUGGUGUAAGAUGGACCCGCGUCUGAUUAGCUUGUUGGCGGGGUAGGGGCCCACCAAGGCGACGAUCAGUAGCCGGCCUGAGAGGGUGGACGGCCACAUUGGGACUGAGACACGGCCCAAACUCCUACGGGAGGCAGCAG